Molecule: ribosomal RNA, 253 nt
Filed under: uncultured bacterium
Lineage: Bacteria
Description: partial 16S ribosomal RNA
Rfam family: Bacterial small subunit ribosomal RNA
Source: RNAcentral
UACAGAGGCCACAAGCGUUAGUCGGAAUCACUGGGCUUAAAGGGUGCGUAGGCGGGUCUGCAAGCGUCUUGUGAAAUACCUCAGCUCAACUGAGGAACAGCAGGGCGAACUGCGGAUCUUGAGGCAUGUAGGGGCUGCGAGAACAGUAGGUGGAGCGGUGAAAUGCGUAGAUAUCUACUGGAAUGCCGAUGGUGAAGACGCGCAGCUGGGCAUGUCCUGACGCUGAAGCACGAAAGCGUGGGGAGCAAACAGG